RNAcentral lists this ribosomal RNA (259 nucleotides) under uncultured prokaryote. RNAcentral's name for it is "partial 16S ribosomal RNA". It matches the Rfam family "Bacterial small subunit ribosomal RNA", at positions 524 to 782 of the family's 1533-position model. The record is from RNAcentral.
UACGGAGGAUGCAAGCGUUAUCCGGAUUUAUUGGGUUUAAAGGGUGCGCAGGUUGUUUGGUAAGUCAGUGGUGAAAGUCUGUCGCUUAACGACAGGAUUGCCAUUGAUACUGUUAAACUUGAGUAUGGGUGAGGUAUUCGGAAUGUGUAGUGUAGCGGUGAAAUGCAUAGAUAUUACACAGAACACCGAUUGCGAAGGCAGCUUACUAAUCCACCAUUGACGCUGAGGCACGAAAGCGUGGGGAUCAAACAGGAUUAGA